UACAGAGGAGCCAAGCGUUGUCCGGAUUGACUGGGCGUAAAGCGCACGAAGGCGGGCGCGCGCGUGGGGGGUGAAAUCUGGCCGCUUAACGGCCAGGCGCCAUCCCAUACGGCGCGACUGGAGUGAUGCAGAGGUCGAUGGAAUUGCCGGUGUAGUGGUGAAAUGCGUAGAGAUCGGCAGGAACACCCAGGGGGAAACCAGUCGACUGGGCAUCUACUGACGCUGAGGUGCGAGAGCGUGGGGAGCGAACCGG
This 253-nucleotide ribosomal RNA is filed under the name uncultured bacterium. RNAcentral's name for it is "partial 16S ribosomal RNA". It matches the Rfam family "Bacterial small subunit ribosomal RNA", at positions 524 to 776 of the family's 1533-position model. The record is from RNAcentral.